Molecule: long non-coding RNA, 2212 nt
Organism: Mobula hypostoma (lesser devil ray)
Lineage: Eukaryota; Metazoa; Chordata; Chondrichthyes; Myliobatiformes; Myliobatidae
Exons: 3
Source: RefSeq, a predicted model, not a curated record
GUACAGACUCCUCACAGGACACCGGCGGGAACUGGAGCCGGCUUGCCGAUGCUCUCACCGUGUUACGCUAACGCGCUAACGGGCCAGAAAUCGCUCAGGCCUCAGCUACGCGAUGCAAGAGGGCCGAACGGCAGAGUUUGUUGCCUUCCCACAUUGGUUGUGCGUCUGUCUUGUUGGGUGCGGUCUUUCAUUGAUUCUCAGUUGAAUUAUCAUUUGGCCAAACAUGAUACGGCCGAGCAAGACAGCGUUACUAGUGCUAACUUUAUAUGCUGGCGCUGUUAAGCCUGUUUCGGAUUCCGUCACACACAUAAGGAAUCCCAGUCACUAUAUCCGGAGUGCCUUGGCCGCAAAACAUCAAGCUUCACGUCACAUGUCAGCGAUCUGAAUCUGAUUCAAGAUCACGGGCUAUCUGUGGAUUGCUGGCUUUAUCCUUCAGGCAUAAUAAACUUUAAAACAACAGAUGCAGCGUGGCCCCUUCCCUCCUGCUGGCAAUUCUGGUACCAGAAUCACCCCAUUCAAUUCUGACAACCCUGAAGUGACUCACGGCUCCACACAAGAGUUGUAACACCAGAGCAGAGACAUAGGAGUAGAGCCAGGCCACUCGGCCCAUUGAGUCUGGUCUGCCAUUCCAUCGUGGCUGAUUUAUUAUCCCUCUUCAUUCCCAUCCUCCUGCCUUCUCCCCAUACACCUUUGAUGCCCUGACUAAUCAAGAACCUAUCAACCUCCGCCUUUAAUUUACCAGACGAAUUGGCCUCCACAGACGUCUGUGGCUAUGAAUUCCACCGAUUAACCACUCUCUGGCUAAAGAAAUUCCUCUUAACUCUGUUCUAAAUGGACGCCCCUCUGUUCUGAGGCUGUGUCCUCUGGUCCUAGAUUCCCCCACAUAGGAAACAUCCUCUCCACAUCCACUCCAUCUGUGUCCUCUGGUCCUAGACUCACCCACUAUAGGAAACAUCCUCUCCACAUCCACUCUAUCUGUGUCCUCUGGUCCUAGAUUCCCCCACUAUAGGAAACACCCUCUCCACAGCCAAUCUAUCUGUGUCCUCUGGUCCUAGACUCCCCCACUAUAGGAAACAUCCUCUCCACAUCCACUCUAUCUGUGUCCUCUGGUCCUAGAUUCCCCCACUAUAGGAAACAUCCUCUCCACCUGUGUCCUCUGGUCCCAGACUCCCCCACUAUAGGAAACAUCCUCUCCACAUCCACUCUAUCUGUGCCCUCUGGUCCUAGACUCCUCCACUAUAGGAAACAUCCUCUCCACAUCCACUCUAUCUGUGUCCUCUGGUCCCAGACUUCCCCACUACAGGAAACAUCCUCUCCACAUCCACUCUAUCGAGGCCUUUCAGUAUUCGACAGGUUUCAAUGUGAUCUCCUCCCAUUCUUCUGAACUCCAGUGAGUCCAGGCCCACAGCCAUCAAAUGCUUCUUAGAUGUUAACCCUUUCAUUCCUGGGAUCAUUCUCAUGAAGCUCCUCUGGAACCUCUUGCUGCCUCGGUAAAGCAGCCAGCCUAAUCAAAGACCCCCACCCACCCCGGGCACUCUCUCUUCUCCCCUCUCCCAUCCGGCAGAAGAUACAAAAGCCUGAAAGCUCGUCCCACCAGGCUCAGGGACAGAUUCUACCCUGCAGGUGUCAGACUCUUGAACGGACCUCUUGUUCGAUGAGAUGAACUACGGCCUCACAAUCUACCUUGUUCUGAUCUCGCACCUUACUGUCUGCCUGCACUGCACUCUCUCUGCAGCUGCGACAUUUUACUCUGGAUUCUGUUAUUGUUUUCCCUUGUUGCACUGCGUACUGAUCUGCUCUGUAUGAACAGUGUGCAAGACAAGCUUUUCACUGUAUCCUGGUACCUGUGACAACAGUAAGUCGAUUGCAAUACCCACCAUGGGUACUUACCUCCUGACUUAUUCAUCCCUCACCAGCCCCUCUCCCCCGCAAACCCUUCUCCUUCACCACAAUCCAGGACCCUACACGGUCCUGAUACCGAUACGGGUCUCCAUUGUGGACCAGGAGUGGGAAGGGGGCAGGGAGAGGAGAAUCACGGUUGGGAGAAGGGGAAGGGAGAGUGAGGGAGCGGGAGGCACCAGAGUGACAUUUUGUAAUGAUCAAUAAUUAUCUGGAAUCGUAUUAUUCAUUGAUAUCCUUUAUGAUUGGGAGUUUUGUCAAUCAAUUCUUUAGUUUUGUAUCUACUCAUGUUAAUUAUAAUGAUGUAUUCUCA